GUCCACGCCCUAAACGAUGGGUACUAGACGUCGGGAAGCUUGUCUUCUUGGUGUCGCAGCUAACGCAAUAAGUACCCCGCCUGGGGAGUACGGUCGCAAAGAUUAAAAACUCAAAAGGAAUUGACGGGGGCCCGCACAAGUGGUGGAGCAUGUGGUUCAAUUCGAUGCAAACGCGAAAAACCUUACCUGCCCUUGACAUCUGGGGAAUCCUGCAGAGAUGCGGGAGUGCCGCAAGGAACCCCAAGACAGGUGCUGCAUGGCUGUCGU
RNAcentral lists this ribosomal RNA (267 nucleotides) under uncultured bacterium. Its description in RNAcentral is "partial 16S ribosomal RNA". It matches the Rfam family "Bacterial small subunit ribosomal RNA", at positions 793 to 1055 of the family's 1533-position model. The record is from RNAcentral.